AUGAAAGCUUUCGACAACACGGUAGAGGCUUGGUUUGCAAGAAGUACAUUUGCAAGAAGGACCCAGAGAAGGAGACUUUGUUCGGAUUCCGGCGCAAACAGGCCUCCGGGUUCCGCUCCUCCGAGGGAUUUUCUCUCCCAAACUGAAGAAUUGGAGGAAUUUCUCCGUCGGUUUCUUCCUUUCCUCCGAAGCAGAAAUGUUGGAACGAGACCCUGGCAGCGGCCUGGAAGGGUGUUGCCUGCCUCGGAGGCAAGAAAUGGCAAAAAUCCCACCUUGGGCCGAGAAUUAUGGCGAGGAGGAGGAGGACGAGGCCAACAACGAGGUCUUGCGACAGUAAACAAGCCGUGCAAGAAGAUUCUCCCCGGUUCCCGGUGGUUUUGCACUUUCCGGCUUCGUAGAGAAAUUCUGCCUCGAUCUUGCCCCACUUGCACCUUGGGCUCCUCCGGGGAGCGAGUGCGAAUCCUCCCUGUCGUUCGCAUUUGCUUAAAGUUAAUGCGUCCGCGCCUCUUUUGCAAAUAGAAACUAGUUUCAAUCUGGGAAAGUUUUCAAAUUGGCUCACUUUGUUGUGCUUUGCUUCUCCUUUGCAAGCUGAAGUGGGUGCAAAUCCUCUGUAUCUUUCCCAUUUGCUUGCUUUCUUGUUCGUUGCUCCUCUUUUGCAAGCAAGAGCUGGUGCAAAUCCUCUAUAUUUUUCCCGUUUGUACACUGUUGUGCCUUGCGCUUCUCCUUUGCAAGUGGAAUUGAGUGUGAAUCCUGAUCUUUUACGCUUUUUUGUGCAUUGCAUUUUUUGCAAGCGGAAGUUGGUGCAAAUCCUCUGUAUCUUUCCCAUUUGCUUGCUUUCUUGUUCGUGGCUCCUCUUUUGCAAGCAAGAGCUGGUGCAAAUCCUCUAUAUUUUUCCCGUUUGUACACUGUUGUGCCUUGCGCUUCUCCUUUGCAAGUGGAAUUGAGUGUGAAUCCUGAUCUUUCACGCUUUUUUGUGCAUUGCAUUUUUUGCAAGCGGAAGUUGGUGCAAAUCCUCUGUAUCUUUCCCAUUUGCUUGCUUUCUUGUUCGUGGCUCCUCUUUUGCAAGCAGGAGCUAUUGCAAAUCCUCUAUUUUUCACCUUUGUUGUGCCUUGUGCUUCUUUGCAAGUGGAAGCGAGUGCAAAUCUCUCAUUGUCACAUUGGCUCACUUAGUUGUGUGUUGCUCCUCUUUUGCAAGCAAGAGCUGGUGCAAAUCCUCUGUAUUUUUCACAUUUGCUCACUUGUGUUGUGCCUUGCGCUCCUCCUUCGCAAGCGGAAGCGGGUGCGGAUCCUCUGUCUUUCACACUUGCUUGACGUUGUGCGUUGCUCCUCUUUUGCAAGCAGAAGCCGAUGCGAAUCCUCCCACUUUCCCAUUUGCUCCCUUUGUUGUGCCUUGCGUGCCUCCUUUGCAAGUGGAAGCGAGUGCAAAUCCUUCACUUUGCUGUGGGUUGUGCCCUUUCUACACAAGUGGGAUCGAGUGCGAAUCCUCCUGCGCCUUCACACUUUUUUGUGCAUUGCUCUUCCUUUGCAAGUAGAAGUCGGUGCAAAUCCUCUAUAUCUUUCCCAUUUGCUCACUUUGAUGUGCCUUGCGCUGCUUUGUAAUCGGAAAGUGAGUGCGAAAUCUUACUUAGCCUUCACACUUUUUGUUAUUGCAGUCUCCUUUGCCAAGUAGA
Molecule: long non-coding RNA, 1670 nt
Filed under: Anolis carolinensis (green anole)
Lineage: Eukaryota; Metazoa; Chordata; Lepidosauria; Squamata; Anolidae
Description: lncRNA (ENSACAG00000038560.1)
Source: RNAcentral